Molecule: ribosomal RNA, 485 nt
Filed under: uncultured bacterium
Lineage: Bacteria
Description: bacterial SSU rRNA
Rfam family: Bacterial small subunit ribosomal RNA
Source: RNAcentral
AUUGAACGCUGGCGGCAUGCCUUACACAUGCAAGUCGAACGGCAGCACGGGAGCAAUCCUGGUGGCGAGUGGCGAACGGGUAGAGUAAUAUAUCGGAACGUGCCCAGUCGUGGGGGAUAACGUAGCGAAAGCUACGCUAAUACCGCAUACGAUCUAUGGAUGAAAGCGGGGGAUCGCAAGACCUCGCGCGAUUGGAGCGGCCGAUAUCAGAUUAGGUAGUUGGUGAGGUAAAGGCUCACCAAGCCGACGAUCUGUAGCUGGUCUGAGAGGACGACCAGCCACACUGGGACUGAGACACGGCCCAGACUCCUACGGGAGGCAGCAGUGGGGAAUUUUGGACAAUGGGCGCAAGCCUGAUCCAGCAAUGCCGCGUGCAGGAUGAAGGCCUUCGGGUUGUAAACUGCUUUUGUACGGAACGAAACGGUGAGCUCUAAUACAGUUUGCUAAUGACGGUACCGUAAGAAUAAGCACCGGCUAACUACGUG